AUUUUAUUUAGUGCAGAUUUUCUGCAUAAAAUUUGAUGUUUUUGUUAUUAGGAAUAAUAAUUUUUAGGAGUAUUUUUAGGUCUUAUUUGAUUUACUUGUAAGCCUAUAAAUAGGCAUAUCCUUUUAUUAAUUCAAUGAAGUGCAAAACAUUAUUAAUCAUCUUGUGCAUUCCAUUGUUCCUUCCCUAAAAAUCUCAACAUGGUAUCAGAGCCUGUCUAUUAAAUGGCCACAAACACUAUUCCAUUUUCUUCCCCUUCAAUUUUUGUUGGUGAAAAUUAUCAGCUAUGGGCUGUUAAAAUGAAAGCUUAUUUACAAGUUUAUGACUUAUGGGAGCAUGUUGAAACAGAAAAA
This is a non-coding RNA of Jatropha curcas, 351 nucleotides long. NCBI's taxonomy places the organism in Eukaryota, Viridiplantae, Streptophyta, Magnoliopsida, Malpighiales, Euphorbiaceae. The record is from RefSeq and is a predicted model, not a curated record.